This 1361-nucleotide long non-coding RNA is filed under the name Citrus sinensis (sweet orange). RNAcentral's name for it is "long non-coding RNA (CSIN_LNC005316)". The record is from RNAcentral. Lineage: Eukaryota; Viridiplantae; Streptophyta; Magnoliopsida; Sapindales; Rutaceae.
CGGCUUAGAAGCAGCUACGAGGUAUGCAAUGUGUUAAAUAAAAGAAAUGGCAAUUUUUUCAAUUCUGCAAAUGAAAUUCUAUCGAGCCAUUGAGUUUCUGAAAUAAACUAGUCAAAAUAUACAGCUCAUUUUGCUUGUACAUGUACACAUGGUCAGCAUGUAUCCUGAUAUAUGUUUUCAUCCCAUGUAUAUAAUAUGUAUCUAGCUAGCUUGUCAACACUGUUUUAAUGAGCAUAUAAUACACAGGGAAGCAUCAGAGAACGCGGCGGUAGGUUUCAAGAAAUUCAGCAAUUCCAGAACAGUAAGUAAAUUUCACCACCUGGCCCUUCUGCAGUCCAUAGUAUUGAGCAAACGCAUCAGUUUCCAGCAUUCGAGGGAGCUGAAAGACAAGAUAAAAAUAGAGGUAGGUUGGUGUUCUACUUUGAUCAAUCAUGCAACAAAACUUAUGAGCAGUUACAUAGACAAACGAACACUGUUAUCAAAAAGAAUCCACCAUAUUCUUUACAUGGCAUACUUCUUUUCCUGAUUCAUGACACAUAGGCUCAUUGACGCCUCUUUCUAAGUCACAACCCAUUUUUAACAUAUUGCUCAGACUAAAGAGAUAAGCCAAUCAAGACAUAAGAGGUAGGCCCCAGACGUUCAAAGUCGAUGAUUUUUAUAUUUGUUACAGUGACUUUUGCUUUUCUUUUCUUUUUUAAUUUACUUUUUAAUUUACUUUUUAAUUCAAUUUUUUCUUAUUUUUUAAAAACAAAAUUAAGCGGUGCCAUUUUUAUUUUCGUGUAAAAAUUUUCAAUCUACUUUAUGUCAAAGUAGCAUUGUUGAUCUUUCACGGAUUGAUCCCACUGAUUGCAGUGUUGUGAAGCAGAUUGGUGUAGAAAAUAUUCACAACAUUUGUUUAGAAACUAUCGGCUUAGAAGCAGCUACGAGGUAUGCAAUGUGUUAAAUAAAAGAAAUGGCAAUUUUUUCAAUUCUGCAAAUGAAAUUCUAUCGAGCCAUUGAGUUUCUGAAAUAAACUAGUCAAAAUAUACAGCUCAUUUUGCUUGUACAUGUACACAUGGUCAGCAUGUAUCCUGAUAUAUGUUUUCAUCCCAUGUAUAUAAUAUGUAUCUAGCUAGCUUGUCAACACUGUUUUAAUGAGCAUAUAAUACACAGGGAAGCAUCAGAGAACGCAGCGGUAGGUUUCAAGAAAUUCAGCAAUUCCAGAACAGUAAGUAAAUUUCACCACCUGGCCCUUCUGCAGUCCGUAGUAUCGAGCAAACGCAUCAGUUUCCAGCAUUCGAGGGAGCUGAAAGACAAGAUAAAAAUAGAGGUAGGUUGGUGUUCUACUUUGAUCAAUCAUGCAACAAAACUUAUGAGCAGUU